Molecule: unclassified non-coding RNA, 218 nt
Filed under: uncultured Gaiellales bacterium
Lineage: Bacteria; Bacillati; Actinomycetota; Thermoleophilia; Gaiellales
Description: contains 16S-23S intergenic spacer region
Source: RNAcentral
UCCGAUUUGUCACCGGCAGUCUCCCAUGAGUCCCCGACAUUACUCGCUGGCAACAUGGGACAGGGGUUGCGCUCGUUGCGGGACUUAACCCAACACCUCACGACACGAGCUGACGACAGCCAUGCACCACCUGUGCACGAGCCCCGAAGGGCUGCCGUAUUUCUACGACAUUCCCGUGCAUGUCAAGCCCUGGUAAGGUGGGGAUGACGUCUUCUACG